AACGUUCUUGUUUAUUAUGGCAGGUUGGUUUUGAGAUGGUGGACCUUUUGGCUGAUGCAGAAGGGAUAUCUGUGAACACCGUUAACUUCAAGGCCUUGUUUGGCAGAGGUCUUAUUGGACAUGUACCGGUUAUGCUGGCGAAAUCUCAGACUCUCAUGGACGCAAGUGAUGAGUCUGUCGCACAAAUUGUUUCCUUUUACAAGAUCUAAACCAAGUACUUAUGAUCUACGAAGAUUUAGCUUUGCCCUUUGGUACACUGCGUUUAUUGCCAAAAGGUGGUCACGGUGGGCACAAUGGGUAACAAAAGCUUCUCACUGUGUUAUCUUUACAGGAUGAGAAGCAUCAUCGAUGGCCUAAAAGGGAACUGCAAUUUUCCUCGUCUAAGAAUAGGGAUCAGCCAAUUAUAUUCUUAGCCAGUUCAGUAAAGAAGAACAUGAACAGUUGGAUAAUACAUUUCGAACCGGGUUAAAGGGAAUAAGGAUGUUGUUGUUUGAAGGGGUUAGCGACAGUGGAACCUUUGUCAACACUCCAAAAGACUAAUCUAUGGAGUAGCUCAAAAGGAGAGGGAUUGUUUGUUUCAUCACAUAGGAAAAACUGCAGGCCGUUUGAUUCAUUAAUAUGUUAUGUGUUCAAUUCAUAAUCCCUUUGAGAAAAUUUUAAAUCAGCAGG
This is an RNA transcript of Brassica oleracea var. oleracea, 669 nucleotides long. RefSeq lists it as uncharacterized. NCBI's taxonomy places the organism in Eukaryota, Viridiplantae, Streptophyta, Magnoliopsida, Brassicales, Brassicaceae. The transcript is spliced from 7 exons. The record is from RefSeq and is a predicted model, not a curated record.